Amphimedon queenslandica is the source of this 159-nucleotide long non-coding RNA. RefSeq lists it as uncharacterized. NCBI's taxonomy places the organism in Eukaryota, Metazoa, Porifera, Demospongiae, Haplosclerida, Niphatidae. The record is from RefSeq and is a predicted model, not a curated record. The transcript is spliced from 2 exons.
AUUAUUAUUAUUAAUAAACUUUACAAUACAUACUAUAAAAUGUGACAAAAAGAAAAGAAACAAAAAAGAGAUGUAUCGAAGGCAAACACAGUAACAAGACUGGCCACCUAAAAUUACAUAAAAAACAUUUAGACACAAUUGAAACAAGGACAACAAAAA